UGGGGAAUAUUGGACAAUGGGCGAAAGCCUGACCCAGCAAUGCCGCGUGAGUGAUGAAGGCCUUAGGGUUGUAAAGCUCUUUUACCAGGGAUGAUAAUGACAGUACCUGGAGGAUAAGCUCCGGCUAACUCCGUGCCAGCAGCCGCGGUAAUACGGAGGGAGCUUGCGUUGUUCGGAAUUACUGGGCGUAAAGCGCGCGUAGGCGGUUUUUUAAGUCAGAGGUGAAAGCCCAGUGCUCAACACUGGAACUGCCUUUGAAACUGGAAAACUUGAAUCUUGGAGAGGUCAGUGGAAUUCCGAGUGUAGAGGUGAAAUUCGUAGAUAUUCGGAAGAACACCAGUGGCGAAGGCGACUGACUGGACAAGUAUUGACGCUGAGGUGCGAAAGCGUGGGGAGCAAACA
This 402-nucleotide ribosomal RNA is filed under the name uncultured prokaryote. RNAcentral describes it as "bacterial SSU rRNA". It matches the Rfam family "Bacterial small subunit ribosomal RNA", at positions 355 to 774 of the family's 1533-position model. The record is from RNAcentral.